AGGAUGAACGCUGGCGGCGUGCCUAAUACAUGCAAGUCGAACGAGCUCUUCGGAGCUAGUGGCGGACGGGUGAGUAACACGUUGGUACCUACCCCGAAGUGGGGAAUAACUGCCCGAAAGGGUGGCUAAUACCGCAUAAUACCGCAAGGUUAAAGCGAGUAAUCGCGCUUCGGGAGGGGCCUGCGUCCCAUUAGCUAGUUGGUAGGGUAAUAGCCUACCAAGGCGACGAUGGGUAGCUGGAUCGAGAGGUUGACCAGCCACACUGGGACUGAGAUACGGCCCAGACUCCUACGGGAGGCAGCAGUAAGGAAUCUUCCACAAUGGACGAAAGUCUGAUGGAGCAACGCCGCGUGCAGGAUGACGGUCUUCGGAUUGUAAACUGCUUUUAUAUGGGAAGAUUAUGACGGUACCAUAUGAAUAAGGACCGGCUAACUACGUGCCAGCAGCCGC
Molecule: ribosomal RNA, 450 nt
Filed under: uncultured bacterium
Lineage: Bacteria
Description: SSU rRNA
Rfam family: Bacterial small subunit ribosomal RNA
Source: RNAcentral